This 425-nucleotide ribosomal RNA is filed under the name uncultured bacterium. Its description in RNAcentral is "partial 16S ribosomal RNA". It matches the Rfam family "Bacterial small subunit ribosomal RNA", at positions 354 to 796 of the family's 1533-position model. The record is from RNAcentral.
GUGGGGAAUAUUGGACAAUGGGCGCAAGCCUGAUCCAGCCAUGCCGCGUGAGUGAUGAAGGCCCUAGGGUUGUAAAGCUCUUUCACCGGUGAAGAUAAUGACGGUAACCGGAGAAGAAGCCCCGGCUAACUUCGUGCCAGCAGCCGCGGUAAUACGAAGGGGGCUAGCGUUGUUCGGAAUUACUGGGCGUAAAGCGCACGUAGGCGGGUAUUUAAGUCAGGGGUGAAAUCUCGGAGCUCAACUCCGGAACUGCCUUUGAUACUGGGUACCUAGAGUAUGGAAGAGGUAAGUGGAAUUCCGAGUGUAGAGGUGAAAUUCGUAGAUAUUCGGAGGAACACCAGUAGCGAAGGCGGCUUACUGGUCCAUUACUGACGCUGAGGUGCGAAAGCGUGGGGAGCAAACAGGAUUAGAUACCCGAGUAGUCC